GUGCAGCAGGCGAGAAUUUUUCUCAAUGGGGGCAACCCUGAAGGAGCGACGCCGCGUGGAGGAUGAAGGCUUUCGGGUUGUAAACUCCUGUCAUUUGAGAACAAGUGCCGGCAAGUAACUACUGCCGGCUUGAUAGUAUCAGAAGAGGAAGGGACGGCUAACUCUGUGCCAGCAGCCGCGGUAAUACAGAGGUCCCAAGCGUUGUUCGGAUUCAUUGGGCGUAAAGGGUGCGUAGGUGGCGCGCUAAGUCAGGUGUGAAAUCUCGGGGCUUAACUCCGAAACUGCAUUUGAUACUGGCGUGCUUUGAGGACUGGAGAGGAGACUGGAAUUCACGGUGUAGCAGUGAAAUGCGUAGAGAUCGUGAGGAAGACCAGUGGCGAAGGCGGGUCUCUGGACAGUUCCUGACACUGAGGCACGAAGGCCAGGGGAGCAAACGGGAUUAGAUACCCGGGUAGU
RNAcentral lists this ribosomal RNA (456 nucleotides) under uncultured organism. RNAcentral's name for it is "bacterial SSU rRNA". It matches the Rfam family "Bacterial small subunit ribosomal RNA", at positions 346 to 794 of the family's 1533-position model. The record is from RNAcentral.